GAAAGAAGUAGCUUAACUUAAAGCAUAACGCUGAAAACGUUAGGAUAGCCUCAUAAACUCUCA
This 63-nucleotide transfer RNA is filed under the name Pseudocuneopsis capitata. RNAcentral describes it as "tRNA-Phe". The record is from RNAcentral. Lineage: Eukaryota; Metazoa; Mollusca; Bivalvia; Unionida; Unionidae.